RNAcentral lists this transfer-messenger RNA (351 nucleotides) under bacterium. RNAcentral's name for it is "NP-4 sp005882335 Standard tmRNA". It matches the Rfam family "transfer-messenger RNA". Rfam says of the family: Bacterial tmRNA, also known as 10Sa RNA or SsrA, is named for its dual tRNA and mRNA-like properties. Its role is to liberate the mRNA from a stalled ribosome. The record is from RNAcentral. RNAcentral also lists the same sequence under 1 other name.
GGGGGCGAACGGUAUCGACUGGGAUGGCAGAAGCGAGGCUGCGCGUCGAGGUGGUCUGGGUCCUCGUAAAACACCCGGACGGCGAAUAAACGCCAAUACACAGUACGCUUACGCUGCCUAAGUAGCAGCGUACGUCCACCCGGGAGGGCUGGCGGUCCGGGAUGGGCGCCAACAGCCGGCUACCGCGCGGCGACUGGCCCGGCCGCUGCCGCGGGAACCCUAAUGGGCUGGCGUCAGAGAGAUCUGGCUCGGGUGAGCUCCCAGACGCGAGACCAAAAACCUGAGAUACACGCGUAGACGCCUUGCCCUCGCGAUCACAGGACGUGGGUUCGAUUCCCACCGCCUCCACCA